Molecule: RNA transcript, 2676 nt
Organism: Magnolia sinica
Lineage: Eukaryota; Viridiplantae; Streptophyta; Magnoliopsida; Magnoliales; Magnoliaceae
Gene name: putative disease resistance protein At1g59780
Exons: 4
Source: RefSeq, a predicted model, not a curated record
AUUUCCUUAAGUAGUUCCACUCCGCACCUUCGUUCUGUGUUGAUGUACACCCAAGGCGAUACAUGGCUUCAAGAGGAACAAAGCAACUUUCUAUUCCAAGGCUUUAAGUUGCUUAGGGUGCUAUAUCUAGACGGUGUAAAAAUAACCGAGCUACCGAAGCAAAUAGGUGAACUAAUCCAUUUGAGAUAUCUCAGGUGUACUAAAACUGGGUUAGAAACGCUCCCAUCAUCGAUAGGCAAUCUUAUCAAUUUACAAACUCUAUUUGUACAAUCCAAUUAUUAUAUUAAAGUACCGGAGACAAUUGGGAAGAUGCAUCAGUUAAGACAUCUUCAAUUGGGCGAGUACAAACGACUAGGUGAUUUCAUACCGAUAAUUGAACAUUGGGGAGAGAUAGGAGGGCAUCCGAGGCUCGACCUGAUAAGUAACCUCCAGACUCUAUCUGGAGUAUAUGCUGGCAAAUGGAUGGAGGGUUGCUUGGGAAAGCUCACCAAUCUUAGAAAUUUAAAAAUACAUUGCAAAACAGGAGCUGAUGCUGAGUUAUUAUAUGAGGCGAUUGUCAAUCUGAACUGCCUCCAUCAUCUGUGGGUGUCGAUGGCAGUAAUGACAGGUGGCAAUGAAGACAGAGCCUUAGUUUUGUCGUUACCUAAUCUUUCACAUCUUGUCAAGUUAAGUAAGUUGUAUUUGGGAGGAAAGUUAGAGACGUUACCUGAAUUUCCAACAAACCUCACCAUACUCACCCUGCAAUACUCCCGGUUAAAGGAAGACCCAAUGGCAACGUUGGAGAAGCUGAAAAGCCUUCGCAUUCUCAGAUUGCUUAAUUGUUCACAUAUCCGAAAGAUAAUGUAUUGCUCUGCACAAGGGUUUCCUCGGCUUGAAUCCUUAUAUCUUCAUGACUUGGAUGAAUUAGAGGAGUGGAAAGUGGAGAAAAGAGCUAUGCCAAGUCUUUUACAUUUAUGCAUCCAUGCCUGCAAGAAAUUGCAGAAGCUUCCAGCAGGACUGCGAUACGUGACUACCCUCAAGAAAUUGGACUUGUGGUCGAUGCCUUAUGAAUUCAAAGCAACGGUUCGAGAAGACCGGGGAGAGGAUUGGUAUAAGAUCCAGCACAUACCCUCCAUCCACAUACGAUAGAUAAUGAGAAGCUAAGCAGUCGGACUUUAAUUUCUAUCAUUAUGAGAGAUUUUCAGUGGUACAGAGGCCGGUUGGUGGCGAUGCAGUGCGUAGUAAGCCCACGUUUUUUGCUUUGGUGUUUUGGGGAUCCAUACUGUCGCAUAGCUUGCUGUCUACAUAUUUUUGUCCUAUAAGCCAUUUGGUAUAUUUUUUCAGAUGAAUGGAUUUUGUAUUUGUUUCCUUCCUACGAUAGGCGAGGCCCCAUUGAUUUUAUUUUUAUAGGAGCCUGCCCGAAAAAAUGGACAGUCUGUUCUUGGAAUUAAUAAUAUUAUAGGUGGCCUGCUCACACCUUUAAUUAAUAAAUAAAAUAAAAUAAAAAAGAGGCUAUGAUCAUACAGCCCCUGUCUUGGCAAAAACAGAACACACUACAUUUUAUUAUUGUGUUUGCACUUCUACGUUACUUGACCUGUGCCAACCUGGCACAUGUACUGGACAUAUGAGCCGUGCACAUGGCAAGACUUACUCCAGUCAUUUGGAUGUCAUGGACAAGUUGGUACGUGCACCUACGAGGUGAUUAAGGACGUGCUUCGAUUACAGAUUGAAGGGCUUUGAUGGGUGUUAUCUUGCAUUGAUUGAAUCCAGCAUCAGAUAAGAGUCUCCUCCACUCCUUUUUUCCUCCUGUCUUAGCCAGCAUUAUCAUGUCCGUUGCUUACCUCAUAGGUUCAAGCUCAUGCCGAUCAUCAACGUCUAUGAUAAUGUCGACUAUGAUAACCAUACCACUCUCUGCAUCUAUGGCAUCCUUACAUCUCUUUAAGAUCUUCACACAAUCCUCAUCACCCCAGUUGUGUAGUACCCACUGUAACCAACGAUUGAUGAGAGAGUUUACACAUAUGCAUGACCAAGCUGCUCAUCAAGAGAGUGUCACUACAUGGCUUCCCUUACACAAGAUUCAGGCUGUCUGCUCAUCUGAUGCACCAUAUGUUAAAUGCUAACUGUCCAUUACAUUUGCAUAGUAUUGGCUCACAUUAUUUGCAUCCGACCUGAUUCUUGGACCAAGCAUAAGUUGUGGGGCAACCAUCGAGAGGUUAGACAGGAGCUUCGAGUAAGAUUUUUGGAGCAUCUUUCGUCUAUGGCAGUGUAUUAAAUCAAAGUUUGGAUUUCAGAACUACUAGCCCCACUUGUUUCACGCAUCAAGAUACUUGGACUGAAUGCAUUUGAAGCUAUACUUCCUGUUUAAUCAAUUAUUAGUUUUUAAAGUUGCGCAUUUUUCUCACAACAGAGAUUGCAAUGCUCUGCAUGUGCUAUGUGACUAGACGAAGUGAAGAAUGGUGGAAUGGUGACUAGACAGUGAUGAGAUGUUUGGAUGAUCAUUUGUAUUUGUAACUCAAGGAUCUACGUACUUUCUGUUUGAGAUAUUUCAAUAUGGAACCAUGCACUACUAUUCGUUACAUGCUCUGCAUUUUAAUUUGGGGAAAUUGCUCAUUAGUGUUUGACUUAUUUCACUGUAUGCAUUGUUUGCCUGUAAUAUGUUAGUUGAAAACUGAAAUAAGAAGCAAUUUCUUUACAGUA